This 492-nucleotide ribosomal RNA is filed under the name uncultured bacterium. Its description in RNAcentral is "partial 16S ribosomal RNA". It matches the Rfam family "Bacterial small subunit ribosomal RNA", at positions 29 to 507 of the family's 1533-position model. The record is from RNAcentral.
AGUGAACGCUGGCGGUAGGCCUAACACAUGCAAGUCGAACGGCAGCACAGUAAGAGCUUGCUCUUACGGGUGGCGAGUGGCGGAAGGGUGAGGAAUACAUCGGAAUCUACUUUUUCGUGGGGGAUAACGUAGGGAAACUUACGCUAAUACCGCAUACGACCUACGGGUGAAAGCAGGGGAUCUUCGGACCUUGAGCGAUUGAAUGAGCCGAUGUCGGAUUAGCUAGUUGGCGGGGUAAAGGCCCACCAAGGCGACGAUCCGUAGCUGGUCGGAGAGGAUGAUCAGCCACACUGGAACGGAGACACGGUCCAGACUCCUACGGGAGGCAGCAGUGGGGAAUAUUGGACAAUGGGCGCAAGCCUGAUCCAGCCAUACCGCGUGGGGUAAGAAGGCCUUCGGGUUGUAAAGCCCUUUUGUUGGGAAAGAAAAGCAGCAGGUUAAUACCCCGCUGUGCUGACGGUACCCAAAGAAUAAGCACCGGCUAACUUCGUG